This 121-nucleotide microRNA precursor is filed under the name Rosa chinensis. The record is from RNAcentral. Lineage: Eukaryota; Viridiplantae; Streptophyta; Magnoliopsida; Rosales; Rosaceae.
GAUAAAAGAGCUUGUCAAGUUAGCCAAGGUGACUGCCUGAGAACCCAACAAGGUUUGAUAACUAAACCUCUUAUAGGAGGCAGGCAAGUCAUCCUUGGCUACCAAACUAGACUCCUUUUGU